CUGUGUCGGGUGGGGGGAAGGUGGGGGGAGGCAUCCCUCUGACCGAAGUCAAGAACCACCACUGGGUUGCGAUGCGGGCAGGCAGCGCAGUGGGAACAAAAAGUGGGAGGCAAGCAGGGGGACGCCUGAAGUCGCCAAAACGCACAGGAGAAGCCUGAAACGUCAUGGACAGCUGGUCGGCGAAGGAAGGCCGACACGGCCCCGUCUUCCUCCUCCGACCCCCGCAGUUUCUUCCCGCGCUUGGUCUCGGGCCCCGGAGGGAGGAAGCCGAGCGAAGAGACCCAUCUUACCUCUAGCCGCUGCCGCCGCUGCCAUGACGACCGGAGCAUCCUUUGCUGUUGCUGCCGCCGCCGGGUGCGUGCGUGUCUGCCUGCCUGUGAGAACGGCUCCCUCGCUCGCUCGCUCGCUCGCUCGCCCUCCACGUCCACGCCGCCUGCUGCCACUGUCCACAUGCGCACCCAACGCGACGGCCACCACCAAGCAGGGCUGGCGAGCGGCAGGAAGCGGCAGAGAGAGAGCUCGAGCGGGGGCUGUCGGGCGACCGCUGAGAGGGGGAAAAGGACACAGCCAGCCUUCCCAGCAACCCACCCACCGCCUUCUGCCGCCGUCGCCUGCUUUUAAUGGCUGCGGCCCCGCCGGCCCGGGCUCCGCCGCCGCCGCCUCUGCUGGCGCGCGCGAGUCUGUCCCCUUCGUUCGCGUCGCUGCUUCGCUGCCUGCCUGCCUGCUUCCCUCCCCUCGCCUGCCUCCCUCGGGAGAGCAGCCUGAUUACAGCUCAGGGCUCCUCAGGGAUUUGCGUCCCUCCCGAGGGAAAGAGGGAGAGGAGGAGAAAGAGGAGGAGACGCGCGGAGGGGGCGGCCGGCCGGCGGGCAGCCAGCCGGCCGGGCGCGCAUUGCGUGUGGUUGUCUCCCGCGUCGCUGUUCGCUCGCCCUUGCGGGGAUCCGAGGUGGCCGCACCGAANUCUGGGAGGCUGGCCUGGCAGGGACAGGUGAACUGUACUUGGUAAGGGAAUGCUGCAAGUCAAAUUAAAAGAAAUGACUGGAUGCUUUCACCCUGGAAUUAAGAAGAAGAANAAGAAGAAGAAGAAGGGAGAAAGGAUGAAAAAAACAAAAAUCAUGCCACUGUCAUUUACUUUGCCAAUUCAAAAGGGACAAUAAUGUGAUGCUCUCCCCUUGAGGAAUGUGACUCACCCAGUGUGGUGGAUGGGCACUGUCAACAUCACAGCUUCACACACAGCAGCAGAAAUAAACUUGACACUAGAAGGGGUCCCUAUGCUCA
This 1275-nucleotide long non-coding RNA is filed under the name Salvator merianae (Argentine black and white tegu). RNAcentral's name for it is "lncRNA (ENSSMRG00000019116.1)". Lineage: Eukaryota; Metazoa; Chordata; Lepidosauria; Squamata; Teiidae. The record is from RNAcentral.